RNAcentral lists this ribosomal RNA (1105 nucleotides) under uncultured Synechococcus sp. Its description in RNAcentral is "bacterial SSU rRNA". It matches the Rfam family "Bacterial small subunit ribosomal RNA", at positions 56 to 1216 of the family's 1533-position model. The record is from RNAcentral. Lineage: Bacteria; Bacillati; Cyanobacteriota; Cyanophyceae; Synechococcales; Synechococcaceae.
UGCAAGUCGAACGAACCUUCGGGUUAGUGGCGGACGGGUGAGUAACGCGUGAGAAUCUGCCCUCAGGAGGGGGACAACAGUUGGAAACGACUGCUAAUACCCCAUAUGCCGCGAGGUGAAAUGAAUUUCGCCUGAGGAUGAGCUCGCGUCUGAUUAGCUAGUUGGUGUAGGUAAUGGCUCACCAAGGCAUCGAUCAGUAGCUGGUCUGAGAGGAUGAUCAGCCACACUGGGACUGAGACACGGCCCAGACUCCUACGGGAGGCAGCAGUGGGGAAUUUUCCGCAAUGGGCGAAAGCCUGACGGAGCAACGCCGCGUGAGGGAUGAAGGCCUCUGGGCUGUAAACCUCUUUUAUCAAGGAAGAAGAUCUGACGGUACUUGAUGAAUAAGCCACGGCUAAUUCCGUGCCAGCAGCCGCGGUAAUACGGGAGUGGCAAGCGUUAUCCGGAAUUAUUGGGCGUAAAGCGUCCGCAGGCGGCCCUUCAAGUCUGCUGUUAAAAAGUGGAGCUUAACUCCAUCAUGGCAGUGGAAACUGUUGGGCUUGAGUGUGGUAGGGGCAGAGGGAAUUCCCGGUGUAGCGGUGAAAUGCGUAGAUAUCGGGAAGAACACCAGUGGCGAAGGCGCUCUGCUGGGCCAUCACUGACGCUCAUGGACGAAAGCCAGGGGAGCGAAAGGGAUUAGAUACCCCUGUAGUCCUGGCCGUAAACGAUGAACACUAGGUGUCGGGGGAAUCGACCCCCUCGGUGUCGUAGCCAACGCGUUAAGUGUUCCGCCUGGGGAGUACGCACGCAAGUGUGAAACUCAAAGGAAUUGACGGGGGCCCGCACAAGCGGUGGAGUAUGUGGUUUAAUUCGAUGCAACGCGAGAACCUUACCAGGGUUUGACAUCCUGCGAAUCUCUUGAACGAGAGAGUGCCUUCGGGAACGCAGUGACAGGUGUGCAUGCUGUCGUCAGCUCGUGUCGUGAGAUGUUGGGUUAAGUCCCGCACGAGCGCACCCACGUCUUUAGUUGCCAGCAUUUAGUUGGGCACUCUAGAGAGACCGCCGGUGAUAAACCGAGAAAGGGGGAUGAAGUCAAGUCAUCAUGCGCCCUUACAUCUCUGGGGGU